This 505-nucleotide ribosomal RNA is filed under the name uncultured bacterium. Its description in RNAcentral is "partial 16S ribosomal RNA". It matches the Rfam family "Bacterial small subunit ribosomal RNA", at positions 28 to 507 of the family's 1533-position model. The record is from RNAcentral.
GACGAACGCUGGCGGCGUGCCUAAUACAUGCAAGUAGAACGCACAGUUUAUACCGUAGCUUGCUACACCAUAGACUGUGAGUUGCGAACGGGUGAGUAACGCGUAGGUAACCUGCCUGGUAGCGGGGGAUAACUAUUGGAAACGAUAGCUAAUACCGCAUAAUAUUGAUUAUUGCAUGAUAAUUGAUUGAAAGAUGCUAUUGCAUCACUACCAGAUGGACCUGCGUUGUAUUAGCUAGUAGGUGAGGUAACGGCUCACCUAGGCGACGAUACAUAGCCGACCUGAGAGGGUGAUCGGCCACACUGGGACUGAGACACGGCCCAGACUCCUACGGGAGGCAGCAGUAGGGAAUCUUCGGCAAUGGACGAAAGUCUGACCGAGCAACGCCGCGUGAGUGAAGAAGGUUUUCGGAUCGUAAAGCUCUGUUGUAAGAGAAGAACGGGUGUGAGAGUGGGAAGUUCACACUGUGACGGUAUCUUACCAGAAAGGGACGGCUAACUACGUG